AACAUACCUUCAGGGGGAUGAAUUAUUACUCCUGCAAUGAUUGUUGAGAUUGAAGGGCUUAAAGGACUUCCAGUGACAGGGAUGCAUAUUGGACUGCUGAAAUGAUAGAAGUUGUGCAAAAGAAGGGUUCUUGGUAUAGUUAUUAUUAUGCAGAUAAAAGGUUUGUUGUACUCUUGAUCAUGGUUUUUAUAUCACGGUUAUCUGCAAAUCAUUUACCGGAGGAAAGGAAAACAAACUGAAGCUGAAGACAUGUCAGAGAUAAUACAUGUAAUCAGUUUCAACUAAUAAAUUUAACGAGACCUCUAUUUUUAUAUUGUCCGUUACCGUGUGUCCUUAUAUUAGUUUUGUACAGAAAAUUGCAUCGCCUACUACCGACAACAAAAGUACAACACACACCGUGAAAAUAGAGACUAGAUCUUUUAAUAUUUCAUCUUUAAUUAUACUAGCUUAUAACCCGGAAUGCACAGAGAGUUGCAAUCAACUUGAUUUUCGUUGAUGCGCUGGUAAGAUAGCUUCUCAUAAGUCUACAAAAAUUGUAUAAUAAUACUUUUUGAUGUUGGUAAUAGACUGAUUGACAUGCAGGGAGGGAGAAUUCACGCAACAAUUCCUGCACCAUACAUCGGCCAGCUAGAGAAUUAUUUUACAGAAGGAGAAACCUAUGAUGUCAAUAACUUUGUUGUUAGGCGAUAUGCGGACAUGCAACAUGGUAGAUGUUUUAAGAAUGAUAUCUACAUCCAGUUAAACCAUAUGACUGAAGUUAUGGUUACUGGAGGUGUGGAUUACAUCCAGCAGCAUGUAUUCGAAUUUACUGAUUUGGAUGCUUUGUACGCUACUGCACACGAACAGAAAAAUCUGAUUGAUGUUGUGGGGAUUUUGGAACAAGCUGGGCCACUCACUCACUUUAGAAACCGCAUCGGUCAAGAAGAGCCCUGUGUUGAGUUUAGAAUCACUGAUAUGUUGUAUGUGUCUAUAUUGUUAAUAAAAAAUUUGAUCAAAUUAUUAUUGUUUUUUUUACUGAAACUUUGUAUAAAAUUCUCAACAGCACAUCGGCCAGGGCAUUUUUCUACAAUGAAAUGGCAGAAGAGUUUCAUCAAGCUAUCCAACAGGCCAACCAACAUCCAAUAGUGGUUAUCAUCUCGAGCUGCAAACCUCAAAUGUUCUCAGGUACUCUUUCUUGAUAUUUUAACACAGAGCCUUUCAAUUUAAGCUUUCAAUUAGCUACAAUAUUUUCUAAUAUUUUAACACAAAAUUGGUUUACAUCUACACUUUAGAGGAGCCAAACGUGACAAACUUCCAAGCUACAAGAUUUUUCAUUAAUCCAAAUCAUGAGGCAGUUGAUGAUUUGAGGAACGCUUUAAGGUUCGUAGUUUAUCAAACAAAGUUGAAAUAUAGGCUUCUUCGUAUUAUGUUAAACCAAUUUCAAAUUACUGGAUGCAACAGUGUGGCUAAUGCAAAACAACUAACGAGGUUGUGAGAUGAUCUGCUCUUUCCGAUGCCUGCUGUUUGAAGAAUUUCUCUUUCCGCUUAAGCAUUUUGUUGUUGUAUAAUCCAGAUUCAAAACUUUGUCAUUUCACUCGCUGCCUUUGCUUUCAUUUCAGUUUUUUAAAUAUAACCAUUGUGUAACCAAGUAUUAGUCUGGACAAAUGCUGUAAUGGGAACUGAAUAUCAUUUCAGUACAAGCUAUUCUGUUGUGCAUGCGCCCAGCAGCGCGGGCUUAAAUACUAGUUCAUAUAUAUAUG
Daucus carota subsp. sativus is the source of this 1739-nucleotide long non-coding RNA. RefSeq lists it as uncharacterized. The transcript is spliced from 3 exons. The record is from RefSeq and is a predicted model, not a curated record. Lineage: Eukaryota; Viridiplantae; Streptophyta; Magnoliopsida; Apiales; Apiaceae.